UGACAACCCUAGAGAUAGGGCUUUCCCUUUCGGGGACAGAGUGACAGGUGGUGCAUGGUUGUCGUCAGCUCGUGUCGUGAGAUGUUGGGUUAAGUCCCGCAACGAGCGCAACCCUUGAUCUUAGUUGCCAGCAUUCAGUUGGGCACUCUAAGGUGACUGCCGGUGACAAACCGGAGGAAGGUGGGGAUGACGUCAAAUCAUCAUGCCCCUUAUGACCUGGGCUACACACGUGCUACAAUGGACAGAACAAAGGGCUGCAAGACCGCAAGGUUUAGCCAAUCCCAUAAAUCUGUUCUCAGUUCGGAUCGCAGUCUGCAACUCGACUGCGUGAAGCUGGAAUCGCUAGUAAUCGCGGAUCAGCAUGCCGCGGUGAAUACGUUCCCGGGCCUUGUACACACCGCCCGUCACACCACGAGAGUUUGCAACACCCGAAGUCGGUGAGGUAACCUUUAUGGAGCCAGCCGCCGAAGGUGGGGCAGAUGAUUGGGGUGAAGUCGUAACAAGGUAGCCGUAAAUCG
This 518-nucleotide ribosomal RNA is filed under the name uncultured Bacillus sp. RNAcentral describes it as "bacterial SSU rRNA". It matches the Rfam family "Bacterial small subunit ribosomal RNA", at positions 992 to 1509 of the family's 1533-position model. The record is from RNAcentral. Lineage: Bacteria; Bacillati; Bacillota; Bacilli; Caryophanales; Bacillaceae.